UCUUUAACGGCCGCAGUACNCUGACUGUGCAAAGGUAGCAUAAUAAUUUGUCCUUUAUUUGAGGACUAGAAUGAAAGGCGAAAUGGGGAAAAACUGUCUUGUGGAUUAUAUUUAAAAUUUACUCAAAGGGUGAAAAUGCCCUUAAAUUCUACAUAAGACGAGAAGACCCUUAGAAUUAUAAUUAAAGGUGAAUAAUUAGCACUUUAUUUUUGUUGGGGCAACACUAACCUUUUAAACGGUUAAACCAUCAUUUUACUGGUAUUUAAAUAAUAAGUAAGGGUUUAAUUACCUGAGGGAUAACAGCAUAAUUUACUUAUAAGAUUGUGACCUCGAUGUUGGACUAGGGUCUUUCUUUAUCAGAGGUAAUGAAAGAUGGUUCUGUUCGAACUUACUUACCCUACGUGAUCUGAG
Molecule: ribosomal RNA, 411 nt
Filed under: Mastus carneolus
Lineage: Eukaryota; Metazoa; Mollusca; Gastropoda; Stylommatophora; Enidae
Description: partial 16S ribosomal RNA
Rfam family: Bacterial large subunit ribosomal RNA
Source: RNAcentral